This 548-nucleotide unclassified non-coding RNA is filed under the name Lepidosperma longitudinale. RNAcentral's name for it is "partial external transcribed spacer 1". Lineage: Eukaryota; Viridiplantae; Streptophyta; Magnoliopsida; Poales; Cyperaceae. The record is from RNAcentral.
UGCGCUUCGGCGUAGCUGACCGUCGUGAAGCUGUCUUUUCACUCCUCCUCCUGUUGCGCUUCGUUUUGCGGGAGAGGAACGUUGUUGGUUGUCUGUGCGGUUCUACCCUCGAGGGGAAUAACGAUCUUUUGUUUCAUGAUGGAUUUUUGCUUGCCCCUCGGUGUUUUUUAUCGUCGGCGUAGCUGAUUUGUGGGCUAAAUACUUGAGCUGCAGCGGGUGUACGCACCUGUAUCCAGCACUUGUGUUUUGUCGGCUCUCGCGGAUGCAGUGUUCAUUGAGGAAUCAGUUGGCCUCUGGUCCCCUGAUUUCCUCGGGAGGUCCCUUGCACGGAUCAUUGCUCUGUCGCUCUGCUAACCUGUCCCGGUUGUUGGGAUGUCGUGGCGGGGCGUGCGGGGCGUGCUCCCGUGCAUGCGAGAUGUUUUGCCCGAUUAUCGGAAUGAGCGACUGCCGGUUCACGUCUUGUGAGCGGACGCCUAUUUAUUUAGGGUUUGCCGCAACGAUGUGUCGGCGCUCGUUUAAGACGUGCUACCUGGUUGAUCCUGCCAGUA